This 253-nucleotide ribosomal RNA is filed under the name uncultured bacterium. RNAcentral describes it as "partial 16S ribosomal RNA". It matches the Rfam family "Bacterial small subunit ribosomal RNA", at positions 524 to 776 of the family's 1533-position model. The record is from RNAcentral.
UACAGAGGGUGCAAGCGUUAAUCGGAGUUACUGGGCGUAAAGCGUGCGCAGGCGGUUCGUUGUGUCGGCGGUGAAAGCCCCGGGCUCAACCUGGGAAUGGCCGUUGAAACUGGCGAACUGGAGUGUGGCAGAGGGGGGUGGAAUUCCGCGUGUAGCAGUGAAAUGCGUAGAGGUGCGGAGGAACACCGAUGGCGAAGGCAGGUCUCUGGGCCACUACUGACGCUGAGAAGUGAAAGCAUGGGGAGCGAACAGG